GGGCUUCGGCAUUUUAAUAACAUCAGUUAACGAACGUAUGUAUGCUUCAGCACAGCUGUUCGGAUCGUUUAGUUGACAUUCGAGCGGUAAUCAAAGCUGACUCUAUAUCGCUUAAGUUAUAGCUGUCGAAGUGGAUUGUGUCGUGGUAGUCGAUUACUUGUGCUCAAAUACUGUUUGCACUUUGCUUUGCAUAUCUUCUCAGCUCGUUUGUGCGGUUGUUUUUGUUUUGUUGACGUCUGUAGAGAGAGAGAGAGAGACGCCUUUGCAAUAGCUGAUAUAUUGCCGCUUCGUGUUUAUUUUUUUUUUUAAUUAUCGUGUUUGGUAAACAGAAAAAACUUCAAUUAGAUCGAACAAACAUUUGUCGCAUGCUAUAAUUAUUUUUUUUUGUAUCGAGUGCCGCUUCGGUUAUGAGUUACUCAAUGCUUCAACAUAGCUUAUCGUGUCCGCUGAUAAAUGGUUGAAUGAGACAUAUGCUUGUUUACGCAUAUGCAUACAUACAUAUAUAAUAUAUAUAUAUGUACACACACACACACGAUGAUUGCAGCCAUAGUGAGUGUGCAUCGCCGAUGAUUUCAAUUGUAAAAUAAAUAAAUUUUGAAGUGAAAAAAAUUGUAUCAGCGCUUAUCAGCAGACAAUAUACAUACACACAUACAUACAUACGUAUGUAAAUAUAUACAUGCUUUCGAGUAUUGUGUUCACAUACAUACAUUAUUGCCCAUCCAUUUAUUUGCAAGCACUGAAGCACUUUUGAAAUGGAUUUGCUUUUGUAAAACGAAGUGUAUUUCAUGUUGCUUUCAAUUUAAAAAUACAUAAAACAAAUAAAAAAAUUUAACAACCAAUAAAACACACGUGCAAUAAAUCAAACAAAUAAAAGGUUGUGGUAAAAAAAUUAUAUGGUAAAAAUGUUCGCAUUUUGAAGCCAGCCGCUUAUUAAACUGUCAAUUUGAAGUCGAGUUGAAGCGGAAUUACACGGAAUAAAUUGGCUUUUUACAAAAAUAUUUCCAUGCAGUUUGUGAGUAAUUACGUCAAGUGUUGUGGCUAAAAAAUAUAAGUGCAUAAAAUAUUUGAACACCCCAAUUUAUAAGUAAUUUAAGUCGCAAUCAACAAAAUGCGUUUGCCCCCUUGCAUUGAAGGUGGCACAUCCAGGCUUCUCAAGAAAUUCCCUAAAAUCAAAAUGUGUGAUGAAUUUGCUAUACAACCAAUUCUGAUUCGGAAGCAACCGAAAUUUCCGACGCGUGAGCGCCACAUGGCUAUUCGCCGUAAGAAAUCGACAGCACUGCACAGCAAUAAUCAAACCCCAAACAACUACAACAUCAACCAUAAUAAGACUAAUGGCAAUAAUUCGCUUACAAG
Molecule: long non-coding RNA, 1353 nt
Organism: Anastrepha ludens (Mexican fruit fly)
Lineage: Eukaryota; Metazoa; Arthropoda; Insecta; Diptera; Tephritidae
Exons: 2
Source: RefSeq, a predicted model, not a curated record